UUACCUUUCUCCGCCUUUUGGCUAGGGGUGUGUUUAGUUCACGAAAAGAAAAUAUUUGGGUGGGAACUAAACUGUUCUUACCAGUUUAAUAUCUAAUGUGUGGGCCAUGUGUCCAUUUUGAUAUUAAAUUUAUUUUUUGUGGGGGAGGGCCCAUCACAGUGGCUUGCCACUGGGCCCUCGCGCGUCGCCCAGGCUUUGCACUGUUGCCCGGGCCUGGCGCACCCAAC
Molecule: small nuclear RNA, 227 nt
Filed under: Oryza longistaminata (longstamen rice)
Lineage: Eukaryota; Viridiplantae; Streptophyta; Magnoliopsida; Poales; Poaceae
Description: snRNA U2
Rfam family: U2 spliceosomal RNA
About the family: U2 is a small nuclear RNA (snRNA) component of the spliceosome (involved in pre-mRNA splicing).
Source: RNAcentral